This 468-nucleotide ribosomal RNA is filed under the name uncultured bacterium. RNAcentral describes it as "partial 16S ribosomal RNA". It matches the Rfam family "Bacterial small subunit ribosomal RNA", at positions 28 to 507 of the family's 1533-position model. The record is from RNAcentral.
GACGAACGCUGGCGGCGUGCCUAACACAUGCAAGUCGAACGGAAAGGCCCUGCUUUUGUGGGGUGCUCGAGUGGCGAACGGGUGAGUAACACGUGAGUAACCUGCCCCUGACUUUGGGAUAACUUCAGGAAACUGGGGCUAAUACCGGAUAGGAGCUCGUGCUGCAUGGUGGGGGUUGGAUAGUUUCGGCGGUUGGGGAUGGACUCGCGGCUUAUCAGCUUGUUGGUGGGGUAGUGGCUUACCAAGGCUUUGACGGAUAGCCGGCCUGGGAGGGUGACCGCCCACAGUGGGACUGAGAUAGGGACCAGACUCGUACGGUGGGCAGCGGUAGGAAGUAUGACGCAAUGAGCGCAAGCGUGAUGCAGAGACGCCGCGUGCGGGAAGACGGCCUACGAGUUAUGAACCGCUUUCGCCUGUGACGAAGAGUGAGUGACGGUAAUGGGUAAAAAAGCACCGGCUAACUACGUG